This 253-nucleotide ribosomal RNA is filed under the name uncultured bacterium. RNAcentral's name for it is "partial 16S ribosomal RNA". It matches the Rfam family "Bacterial small subunit ribosomal RNA", at positions 524 to 776 of the family's 1533-position model. The record is from RNAcentral.
UACGUAGGGUGCGAGCGUUAAUCGGAAUUACUGGGCGUAAAGCGUGCGCAGGCGGUUUGUUAAGUCAGAUGUGAAAUCCCCGGGCUUAACCUGGGAACUGCAUUUGUGACUGGCAAGCUAGAGUAUGGCAGAGGGGGGUAGAAUUCCUCGUGUAGCAGUGAAAUGCGUAGAGAUGUGGAGGAAUACCGAUGGCGAAGGCAGCCCCCUGGGCCAAUACUGACGCUCAUGCACGAAAGCGUGGGGAGCAAACAGG